RNAcentral lists this ribosomal RNA (433 nucleotides) under uncultured bacterium. RNAcentral's name for it is "bacterial SSU rRNA". It matches the Rfam family "Bacterial small subunit ribosomal RNA", at positions 355 to 796 of the family's 1533-position model. The record is from RNAcentral.
UCGAGGAUCUUUGGCAAUGGGCGCAAGCCUGACCAAGCGACGCCGCGUGUGCGAUGAAGGCCUUCGGGUUGUAAAGCACUGUCGAGGGGGAUAAAGCCCGCAAGGGUUGAUUGAUCCCUGGAGGAAGCACGGGCUAAGUUCGUGCCAGCAGCCGCGGUAAGACGAACCGUGCGAACGUUGUUCGGAAUCACUGGGCUUAAAGGGCGCGUAGGCGGCCGAUCAAGUCCGGGGUGAAAUCCUCCAGCUCAACUGGAGAAGUGCCUCGGAUACUGAUUGGCUCGAGGGAGAUAGGGGUCGAGGGAACUUCUGGUGGAGCGGUGAAAUGCGUUGAUAUCAGAAGGAACGCCGGUGGCGAAAGCGCUCGACUGGACCUCUUCUGACGCUGAGGCGCGAAAGCUAGGGGAGCAAACGGGAUUAGAUACCCCCGUAGUCC